RNAcentral lists this ribosomal RNA (114 nucleotides) under Erysipelotrichaceae bacterium. Lineage: Bacteria; Bacillati; Bacillota; Erysipelotrichia; Erysipelotrichales; Erysipelotrichaceae. The record is from RNAcentral.
UCCGGUGACGAUGGCAGAGUGGACACACCUGUACCCAUUCCGAACACAGAAGUUAAGCACUCUUACGGCGACAAUAUCUAUGCUUGCCAUAGUGAAGAUAGCAAGUUGCCGGGC